This 64-nucleotide transfer RNA is filed under the name Pedioplanis laticeps. RNAcentral describes it as "tRNA-Ser". The record is from RNAcentral. Lineage: Eukaryota; Metazoa; Chordata; Lepidosauria; Squamata; Lacertidae.
GAGACGUAUGAACACCUAGACCUGCUAACUCAAGCAACUGUGGUUAAAAUCCACAGGUCUCUUA